RNAcentral lists this ribosomal RNA (427 nucleotides) under uncultured bacterium. RNAcentral describes it as "bacterial SSU rRNA". It matches the Rfam family "Bacterial small subunit ribosomal RNA", at positions 355 to 774 of the family's 1533-position model. The record is from RNAcentral.
UGGGGAAUUUUGGACAAUGGGCGCAAGCCUGAUCCAGCAAUGCCGCGUGCAGGAUGAAGGCCUUCGGGUUGUAAACUGCUUUUGUACGGAGCGAAAAGGUCUGCUCUAAUACGGUGGGCUCAUGACGGUACCGUAAGAAUAAGCACCGGCUAACUACGUGCCAGCAGCCGCGUUAAUACGUAGGGUGCGAGCGUUAAUCGGAAUUACUUGGCUUAAAGCGUGCGCAGGCGGUUAUAUAAGACAGAUGUGAAAUCCCCGGGCUCAACCUGGUACCUGCAUUUGUGACUGAAUCGCUGGAGUGGGGCAGAGGGGGAUGGAAUUCCGCGUGUAGCAGUGAAAUGCGUAGAUAUGCGAAGGAACACCGAUGGCGAAGGCAAUCCCCUGGGCCUGCACUGACGCUCACGCACGAAAGCGUGGGGAGCAAACA